Neodiprion virginianus is the source of this 1186-nucleotide long non-coding RNA. RefSeq lists it as uncharacterized. The transcript is spliced from 6 exons. The record is from RefSeq and is a predicted model, not a curated record. Lineage: Eukaryota; Metazoa; Arthropoda; Insecta; Hymenoptera; Diprionidae.
GAAUUUAUUCUAGCAAUUUCUUUUUAGAAUGGUAUAUUCAAAGCGAAAUCAAAUUUGAAGAGUACAUUGGCUAACUUCCGAGUGCCGAAUAAUCGACCAUCCAAACUGGUCGUAAGGAUAAGCGUUAAUUGAUAAUGUUAUAUAUUGUACACAUCAUGCAAUGAAACAGCAGUUCUGUUAGGUGUCUCAUAACUUUGUUCGUUUUUGUACGAGGAUUUCAGUGCUCACUACAGAGAUACAAGGAAAUUUUGGAUCUACGUCGUUGAAUCCCAGUUCCGAUCGUAAGGCCUGGAUUACGCAAUAGACGAGUGCUACCAGAAACAGAGCGACUGCGAAGCGCCGAGGGUAGAACAAAGCAACUCUCAUUUUGCAGCUAUCUACCUACACGCAUUAAAUCUACGGGGAUGGAAACUGGGAGAAACUUAUCGCCGAUGAUUGAACCGCUCGGAAACCUUCAGUGCGCCGUCGUCGUGAUCGUCGGCUCGUUUGACGACGUCAACUCAGGCCAAGAGGUGAGAAUUACGAAGAAUAAGGUGGAGCAGGGCGAGAAACUUGAAAGUUGGCGAAAUGGCACUGGGUUGAACAUCAUCGCACAUUUUCAACAUCUGGAAAUUCUCUUAGUACAGAUGUUUUUCAGACUGAAUUAUCAGUCUUCGCCAGUGCUUCCCCAAGCGUUCUACAGAGACAGGGCGGAGUAUCAACCCUUCGAAGUACCGAGGACCGAUCGAUGAAACCCCGAAUGCUGUUUAUGCGGAUCGAAUUAGUCAUGGUAAGCGCGCCUCAAUUCACGGACGUGCUGAUCACACACCGGAGGACGCUCAGCCGGCAUGUGAAGACUGAUCUCGUGAGAAAAACUACUAAAGUUGCUGCGCGAUCCCGAGUUCUGAGCUCUUCCCUCUCUACCUGAUUCUCAGCUACGUACACAGGGAACGGAGAGAUGGAACGAAGCUCCUUGAAACUUUGAGUGUAUUUUAACACGCAUUUGAAAGGUGCAGGCAAAACUUUUUAUCAUCCAACUGUCGCAAAACGGCAGCAUUAUUAGCUGACACGUUGACUGAAGGAUAUAUCUUCAUUCAACGGCUGACCAUCGAAGGGCCUAGCCGCGUGAGUCUGGAAUCGGCAGGAAAGAUAAAAAUUCGAGGCGAUUACCGGUGGUCGUUGGAGGUGGUUGGUCGUGGUUGGAGGU